Molecule: ribosomal RNA, 116 nt
Filed under: Geobacter sp. OR-1
Lineage: Bacteria; Pseudomonadati; Thermodesulfobacteriota; Desulfuromonadia; Geobacterales; Geobacteraceae
Source: RNAcentral
CGGUGGCUAUGCCGAGGGGGUCACACCCGUUCCCAUCCCGAACACGGAAGUUAAGCCCCUCUGGGCCGAUGGUACUGCAUGGGUAGCUAUGUGGGAGAGUAGGUCGCCGCCGGGAA